RNAcentral lists this long non-coding RNA (268 nucleotides) under Solanum tuberosum (potato). RNAcentral's name for it is "long non-coding RNA (STUB_LNC005830)". The record is from RNAcentral. Lineage: Eukaryota; Viridiplantae; Streptophyta; Magnoliopsida; Solanales; Solanaceae.
GUGGCCUUACUUCACGAUGUUUUUCUUCUUAAAUGAGGAUGGAAAAACCUUGAGCUAUGGUGGGAAGGGGAUUCAUCAUCAGAAGACUGCCUCGUAAAACUGUAUAAGUCACCUGUCCUGUUCAGCUUUAUGCAUAACAACUUUAGCACCAUAUACCAGUGUUCCAAGCUUCUCCCAAAGUCUUUUCAUUUUAGUAUAGUAGGUAGUGACAUCCAUUGAGCCUUGAGUUAGGUCAGUAAUUUCUUUAUGAAGUUGAUAGAGUUUUGCA